UGAGGAAUAUUGGUCAAUGGGCGGAAGCCUGAACCAGCCAUGCCGCGUGAAGGACUAAGGCCCUACGGGUCGUAAACUUCUUUAGACGCAGAGCAAUAAGGUCCACGUGUGGACCGAUGAGAGUAUGCGUAGAAUAAGCAUCGGCUAACUCCGUGCCAGCAGCCGCGGUAAUACGGGGGAUGCGAGCGUUAUCCGGAUUCAUUGGGUUUAAAGGGUGCGUAGGCGGCCGAGUAAGUCAGCGGUGAAAGACCGGGGCUCAACCCUGGAAGUGCCGUUGAUACUGUUUGGCUGGAAUGAUCCCGCCGCGGGAGGAAUGAGUGGUGUAGCGGUGAAAAUGCAUAGA
RNAcentral lists this ribosomal RNA (343 nucleotides) under uncultured bacterium. RNAcentral's name for it is "bacterial SSU rRNA". It matches the Rfam family "Bacterial small subunit ribosomal RNA", at positions 355 to 694 of the family's 1533-position model. The record is from RNAcentral.